AUUGAACGCUGGCGGAAUGCUUUACACAUGCAAGUCGAACGGUAGAGGGGGCAACCCCUCGAGAGUGGCGAACGGGUGAGUAAUAUAUCGGAACGUGCCCAGUCGUGGGGGAUAACGUAGCGAAAGUUACGCUAAUACCGCAUACGAUCUAGGAUGAAAGCGGGGGAUCGCAAGACCUCGCGCGAUUGGAGCGGCCGAUAUCAGAUUAGGUAGUUGGUGGGGUAAAGGCUCACCAAGCCAACGAUCUGUAGCUGGUCUGAGAGGACGACCAGCCACACUGGAAAUGAGACACGGUCCAGACUCCUACGGGAGGCAGCAGUGGGGAAUUUUGGACGAUGGACGCAAGUCUGAUCCAGCCAUUCCGCGUGCAGGAUGAAGGCCCUCGGGUUGUAAACUGCUUUUGUACGGAACGAAAAGGUCUCUCUUAAUACGGGGGACUCAUGACGGUACCGUAAGAAUAAGCACCGGCUAACUACGUGCCAGCAGCCGCCGUAA
Molecule: ribosomal RNA, 495 nt
Filed under: uncultured bacterium
Lineage: Bacteria
Description: partial 16S ribosomal RNA
Rfam family: Bacterial small subunit ribosomal RNA
Source: RNAcentral